RNAcentral lists this long non-coding RNA (581 nucleotides) under Cricetulus griseus (Chinese hamster). RNAcentral describes it as "lncRNA (ENSCGRG00015034208.1)". Lineage: Eukaryota; Metazoa; Chordata; Mammalia; Rodentia; Cricetidae. The record is from RNAcentral.
GGUAGGGUUUGCAUCAGCCAUAUAGCUGGCAUAUGACCGAACACCCUUUGGAACCCCAAUCUUGAUCUCACCAGCAAACCACAAUGGACUAGACUCCCAGAGAGCAGGUACCAAGGAGCAGCUGUCCAGCCAGAAGAUACUGCACUGGAUGGAGGAUUCCUAGGAGGGAGGCUCAGUGUUCCGGGAACAUUGUCCCACUUGACAGGGAUGGCCUAGAGCAGCAGCCUAAUAUUUCAGGAAUGGAGUUGCCAUUAGUCUGGGUCUCCCAAGUCACUGGAGUGAGCAGAAUUCUUCUGCUGAUGCCCAUUGAAUGUACAGUGAGGGAAGGAAGAGACUCUUGCUGCCUUCAGCCACUGAAUGUCAGGCCUGCUUGUUCCAGCAACAUAGCAGAGCCUGUUCUGACUGAUGUAACCUGGCUUCCAGACCUGCCAUCACUAGAGAUGAUCCUCACUUGCUACCUGCACACCUGUCUGGAACCCGACACUUACAUCCUAGUCUUUGCCUCUUCAACAGCUGUGGUCCAUAGGCUUCAUUCACUGUGCCCUCACUCUGAAAUACAGUUUAGGGCAGUUCCCUUUUCU